CGGAGGAAGGUGGGGAUGACGUCAAAUCAUCAUGCCCCUUAUGACCUGGGCUACACACGUGCUACAAUGGGCGGUACAAAGGGUCGCGAACCCGCAGGGGGAGCCAAUCCCAAAAAGCCGCUCUCAGUUCGGAUUGCAGGCUGCAACUCGCCUGCAUGAAGCCGGAAUCGCUAGUAAUCGCGGAUCAGCAUGCCGCGGUGAAUACGUUCCCGGGCCUU
This 218-nucleotide ribosomal RNA is filed under the name uncultured Anoxybacillus sp. Its description in RNAcentral is "partial 16S ribosomal RNA". It matches the Rfam family "Bacterial small subunit ribosomal RNA", at positions 1164 to 1382 of the family's 1533-position model. The record is from RNAcentral. Lineage: Bacteria; Bacillati; Bacillota; Bacilli; Caryophanales; Anoxybacillaceae.